UUUCAUUCGCAAAGCACGCUCCAUCUGAUUCCUCCAAUGGCGCUCGGCAACCGGAUGGCGAAGCCAAGGGGGCGGCCACCAUGGCGCUGCCGCCUCCAGCGGCAGGGCGGCUCCCGACAGCUCCACAUCCGGGAGCAGACUCGUGGCCGCGACGCUCGUCGGCGCCUGCGCAAGGCGUUGUCCCGCAUCCGAAGGCCUUGGCGGCCUGAUCCCUGCCCACCUGCACCUGAUGCUGGACGCAGACGCCGCCGAGGAGGAGGUCCGGUAAGGUGGCCGGCGCGCCUUCCUCAGCCCCUCCCCUCUCCGACCUCCCUGCCCCUCUCCUCCUACGUCGCCGGCCGGCCGACCAACCGCGCAGACAUGACUGGGGUCGCCGCUCAUGGAUCUACGUGCGGAGCGUGGUCCCGGCGCCCCGCCAUGGCGUCCGCCUCCGCGCGCGACCUACCCUCCUCGCCCACCACCUGCUCGACGGAUUGCCUCCCCUACAACCACUUGCGCAUGCACUCGCAAAACAGACAGGGUGGGCAUAAACCGCAAGGUGCUGCUUCUCUCGACCUCCGCGACGACCUCAACACGCCCUCGGUUGCCGAGCAGCGGGCGGCGCACUGGAAGGUUCGAUGGAGGUUGCCAGAGUUUGCGCCUGCCAAGGUGUUGGAUUUUGGUGCCGAGCCAAGCUCAGUGCUUUGGUGCCUACAGGCUACCAGGCUACCAUUCUGGGCCUUUCAUUGCUGUGGUCACUACUUGAUCAGGUUAAACUCUCACUGCCCUGGCUUUUCUUGAAAGAUAAAAUUAUUGGCACAGAUUAGGCUAUUAUCAGGAUCAUUGUAACAACUUGCCAUGUAUCAUACAUGCCUUUGUUUCUUAAACAAAACCGUUAAGGAUCUCUAACUCCCAGAUUAUUUUGAGAAGAUACCCUUCUAAACCGAACUUCGCGGCAACUAGGGCCAUGUGUGAUUCAUAUGUGUAAUGCAUUUGCUUUCCUGUGCAUUUUUCACAAGCUACUAUGCAUUUAGGUUUAAGUCGAGUUAUGGUGACAUUACUCUCAAGUUUCCCAGUAGUUAAAUGGACUCAAUCGAUAUUAAGGGUUUGCAACUAAAUCGCUUUAAUGUAAGCCAAGUCUAAGACUAGAACAUUUCUGGUUCAGUAAGUUUCUAUUACUUCCUGUUUAAUUUUUCCCUUUUGCUAAUACAGAUUGAGUUAACCGUGAUAUCUACUGCCAUUUUUUUUAUCAAUGCUAUCAUGUUUUACACUACUUUUGGUAUAUGAAUGCAUGCAAGUGAAAUGGAAAAGGGAAGAAAGAAAGUAACUACUGAAAAAAAAGAUUAGUUACAUAAAAACUUACAGAACAUUUUAUUGUCCAUACAGGGGUAAAGGGUUGCUAUAACACAUGAAUCUUAGCAAUUGGAAUCGAAGUAAAACUGCAGCGCCAUCGACAUUUUUUUUUGAUAAUGCACCAUCCACAAUUGUAGGAGGAUGGUCUGAGGAGUAUGAAGGGCUCAUGUAAACUUCGGUGAGGGUUCAGGGAACGAAGUGUCGUUGUUUUAACCCAGGAAGGCCCACAAUAGUCUACUCUUGCACUUGAGCAGGUUAUAUCUGAAACAGACCGGGUUUCCGAAAGGCGAACCCGACUCUCUGUAACGUCGUGAUAAUCCCUGGAUUAGUAGCUAUCACAUACAGAUCUCAUUUCAAUCGAGUAUCACAGACAUAUCUCGCGUUUACAACAUCACAUGGAUUUAUUUAUUA
Panicum virgatum (switchgrass) is the source of this 1743-nucleotide RNA transcript. RefSeq lists it as uncharacterized. The record is from RefSeq and is a predicted model, not a curated record. NCBI's taxonomy places the organism in Eukaryota, Viridiplantae, Streptophyta, Magnoliopsida, Poales, Poaceae. The transcript has 4 exons.